GGGGAUGCUUUGGUUUUGACAGCAAGGGAAUUUGAAAUGUAAGCAUGUCGAGCGUUGAGUUAGUGGCUCGUUAAUCCCAAAUCUCAAGCCUUAACUGGCAAUAACAACUAUGCUCUCGCUGCCUGAUUCGCCAAGCGAAACAGCUUAAUCCAGCAGCCCAAGGCUGGUUGCAGGACGAGGAUCUCGCGAAAGGUUUGUCUUUCGACUUUUCGAUUUUGAGGUUUCAUAUUUUGAAGGAAUCGCAUUCGCAACACCUUUAAGCGGAUGUUAAACUUUUAAAGGUUAAGGAUAAAAUCGACAGCCUUUUGUCCAACUUUAUCCCGACAGAAUGAAAAAAGGCUAAACAUGUAGAAAGCAUUUUGAUUACUUGUUUGGACGCGGGUUCGAGUCCCGCCAUCUCCACAA
RNAcentral lists this transfer-messenger RNA (405 nucleotides) under Prevotellaceae bacterium. It matches the Rfam family "transfer-messenger RNA". Rfam says of the family: Bacterial tmRNA, also known as 10Sa RNA or SsrA, is named for its dual tRNA and mRNA-like properties. Its role is to liberate the mRNA from a stalled ribosome. The record is from RNAcentral. Lineage: Bacteria; Pseudomonadati; Bacteroidota; Bacteroidia; Bacteroidales; Prevotellaceae.